CCUACGGGUGGCAGCAGUGAGGAAUAUUGGUCAAUGGACGAGAGUCUGAACCAGCCAAGUAGCGUGAAGGAUGACUGCCCUAUGGGUUGUAAACUUCUUUUAUAAAGGAAUAAAACGAGGCACGUGUGCCUUUUUGCAUGUACUUUAUGAAUAAGGAUCGGCUAACUCCGUGCCAGCAGCCGCGGUAAUACGGAGGAUCCGAGCGUUAUCCGGAUUUAUUGGGUUUAAAGGGAGCGUAGAUGGGUUGUUAAGUCAGUUGUGAAAGUUUGCGGCUCAAACGUAAAAUUGCAAUUGAUACUGGCAGUCGUGAGUACAGUUGAGGUAAGCGGAAUUCGUGGUGUAGCGGUGAAAUGCUUAGAUAUCACGAAGAACCCCGAUUGCGAAGGCAGCUUACUAAACUGUGACUGACAUUGAUGCUCGAAAGUGUGGGUAUCAAACAGGAUUAGAUACCCUGGUAGUC
RNAcentral lists this ribosomal RNA (460 nucleotides) under uncultured bacterium. RNAcentral describes it as "partial 16S ribosomal RNA". It matches the Rfam family "Bacterial small subunit ribosomal RNA", at positions 338 to 795 of the family's 1533-position model. The record is from RNAcentral.